GACGAACGCUGGCGGCGUGCUUAACACAUGCAAGUCGAACGGAAAGGCCCUGCUCUUGUGGGGUGCUCGAGUGGCGAACGGGUGAGUAACACGUGAGUAACCUGCCCUUGACUUUGGGAUAACUUCAGGAAACUGGGGCUAAUACCGGAUAGGAGCUCCUGCUGCAUGGUGGGGGUUGGAAAGUUUCGGCGGUUGGGGAUGGACUCGCGGCUUAUCAGCUUGUUGGUGGGGUAGUGGCUUACCAAGGCUUUGACGGGUAGCCGGCCUGAGAGGGUUGACGGCCACAUUGGGACUAAGGUACGGACCAGACUCCAACGGGAGGCAGCAGUGGGGAAUAUUGCACAAUGGGCGGAAGCCUGAUGCAGCAACGCCGCGUGCGGGAUGACGGCCUUCGGGUUGUAAACCGCUUUCGCCUGUGACGAAGCGUGAGUGACGGUAAUGGGUAAAGAAGCACCGGCUAACUACGUG
This 468-nucleotide ribosomal RNA is filed under the name uncultured bacterium. Its description in RNAcentral is "partial 16S ribosomal RNA". It matches the Rfam family "Bacterial small subunit ribosomal RNA", at positions 28 to 507 of the family's 1533-position model. The record is from RNAcentral.